This 894-nucleotide ribosomal RNA is filed under the name Hyalella azteca. Its description in RNAcentral is "eukaryotic LSU rRNA". The stretch from base 550 to 894 matches the Rfam family "Eukaryotic large subunit ribosomal RNA", at positions 666 to 910 of the family's 3401-position model. The record is from RNAcentral. Lineage: Eukaryota; Metazoa; Arthropoda; Malacostraca; Amphipoda; Hyalellidae.
GGCGCUGCCCGAAAUGCUUGGAAGGCUAGUUGGGGAGGGUAGCGCCUGCUAAGCGUUGCUCAUACCCGAGACAGGCGAGAUCGUUCAUGGGCUUUGUUUGGCUUUGCGGCCUUGCAUCUGCUCCUCUGGCGGUUUCGUGCUGGGCGAACCUCUCGAAGCAUCACACGGUCAUUGCCCACCACAGCUCGUUGCUUGGUCACCCGCUGAGUCUUGAUGUGCAGGAUGUUUCAUCCACUUUCCAGGCUAUUGAAGUUGACGCGUGGAUGGGCAGAAUCCCGCACGGAGGGCUUGUCCGUGCGUGGGUUGUGGCUCGCGUCACGCCUGUGAAAUCUGUGGCUCUGACUGCCGACUUGUGGACGUGGUGUGAUCCAUUCGGCGACGAAGCUGCAAUUGGCCAGACACAUACAGCUCCCAGCCCUCUCGUCAUGUGCCGACGGAGGGUACCUGCGGGCAGGCUGCUUGCGUCGCAUGCGAAGCAUACGCUCAGCCUGGGAUGCUGGUCUGAUUGGUGAUGUUCUGGCGACCAUCGGUCACGUCUCGAAACACGGGCCAAGGAGUAUAGCAUGUGUGCAAGUCUAAGGGUCUCACAAAACCCGAGGGCGAAGUGAAAGCAAAGGUGUGGCGGCGCAUUGCUGUGCCGUCAGCCAUGUCAAAGUGGUUGCUAGUACCGAGCUGAUCCUGCUUUCCCAUGCUGGGGACAGGCGCAAGCUCCGGGCUCACGAUUGUUGGUUCGGCAAGCUUCUCCUUCACGGGAGUUGCGGGCUGGACGGUGAGCACCGCGGAGCACAUAUGCUAUGACCCGAAAGAUAGUGAACUAUGCCUGGCGAGGGUGAAGCCCCAGGAAACUGGGGUGGAGGCCCGUAGCCGUUGUGACGUGCAAAUCCAUGGCGUCAG